CCUACGGGGGGCAGCAGUGAGGAAUAUUGGUCAAUGGACGAGAGUCUGAACCAGCCAAGUAGCGUGAAGGAUGACUGCCCUAUGGGUUGUAAACUUCUUUUAUAUGGGAAUAAAAUGUUCCACGUGUGGGAUUUUGUAUGUACCAUAUGAAUAAGGAUCGGCUAACUCCGUGCCAGCAGCCGCGGUAAUACGGAGGAUCCGAGCGUUAUCCGGAUUUAUUGGGUUUAAGGGGAGCGUAGGUGGAUUGUUAAGUCAGUUGUGAAAGUUUGCGGUUCAACCGUAAAAUUGCAGUUGAAACUGGCAGUCUUGAGUACAGUAGAGGUGGGCGGAAUUCGUGGUGUAGCGGUGAAAUGCUUAGAUAUCACGAAGAACUCCGAUUGCGAAGGCAGUUCACUGGACUGCAACUGACACUGAGGCUCGAAAGUGUGGGUAUCAAACAGGAUUAGAUACCCUAGUAGUC
RNAcentral lists this ribosomal RNA (460 nucleotides) under uncultured bacterium. RNAcentral describes it as "partial 16S ribosomal RNA". It matches the Rfam family "Bacterial small subunit ribosomal RNA", at positions 338 to 795 of the family's 1533-position model. The record is from RNAcentral.